UUUUUUUUUUGCAUCUGCUCCUCUUUCUCACACUCCACACAUUUGUUUUGGGGCUUUAGCGAUGCCUAUAAGUAGCUCCCUGGUGGCCUUUGAGCGGGUCAUCAUCGCGGAGGAGAGCGUCUCGCCGUCUUUAGCGCCGGCGCUGCAAAAGAUGCUGGGCCUGCUUCCUCGCCACGACGCGAAGGUGAGCUAUCAGCUCGAGCAGGACGUGUUUCACUUCUUCAUCGAGAACGACAUUGUUUACGCCUGCACCACCUCGGGUCACUACGAGAACCGCAUCGUCUUUGGUUUUCUCCUCCACAUCAAGGAUGCAUUCAAGACAUCCUUCGCCGGCAGAGCUGACCGCUAUCCACACCACGCUGACCUGACUCCCGAAAAAUGCCACGGCUUUUCUUCUACUCUAGCCUCCUCCCGCAAAACGUUUAACGAGAGCCCUCAAGAGGAUAAGGUUUGCCGAAUCAAGGAGCAGCUGAACGCAACGCGCGAGGUGAUGCUCCAGAACCUGGAUAGUAUUAUCGAACGUGGCGACCGCAUCGACACUUUGUGCGACCGCGCCGAACUCCUGCGCGACGAGGCGCAAUGCUUCCACUCUAACGCACGCUCUCUCAAGCAUGCCGUUUUGAUGCACAAAAUUAAUAUCAUCAUCGGUGUCGUUAUCUUUCUUGCCAUUCUUGCCCUCAUCAUCACGUUUAGCGUCUGCGGCAUUGACUUUAAGAAAUGCUAGCUAGAUGCAUUUUUUUUUUGUGAGCGGCUUUUCCCUAUGCGACAUGUACAUGGCGCGGUGCUUUUUUUUGCCUUUGCUUCUCUCUCUACUUCCUUGCUGCUCACUUGGAGUUCGCUCUCCCUUUCUCUCUUUCCGAUAUCUCGUCAUGGUCCCUUCUGCUUUUCUCUAUUGCCUAGGGCUCGAUUAG
Molecule: unclassified non-coding RNA, 911 nt
Filed under: Leishmania donovani
Lineage: Eukaryota; Euglenozoa; Kinetoplastea; Trypanosomatida; Trypanosomatidae
Description: gene:LdHU3.27.3530(CDS-product:vesicle-associated _membrane_protein)
Source: RNAcentral